This 272-nucleotide ribosomal RNA is filed under the name uncultured bacterium. Its description in RNAcentral is "partial 16S ribosomal RNA". It matches the Rfam family "Bacterial small subunit ribosomal RNA", at positions 524 to 794 of the family's 1533-position model. The record is from RNAcentral.
UACAGAGGGUGCGAGCGUUAAUCGGAAUUACUGGGCGUAAAGGGCGCGUAGGUGGAUAUAUAAGUCGGAUGUGAAAGACCUGGGCUUAACCUAGGAAUGGCAUACGAAACUGUAGAUCUAGAGUCGUGUAGAGGGAAGUGGGAAUUUCCGGUGUAGCGGUGAAAUGCGUAGAUAUUGGAAAGAACAUCAGUGGCGAAGGCGUCUUCCUGGACACAGACUGACACUGAGGCGCGAAAGCGUGGGGAGCAAACAGGAUUAGAUACCCCAGUAGU